RNAcentral lists this long non-coding RNA (849 nucleotides) under Homo sapiens (human). RNAcentral's name for it is "non-protein coding lnc-METTL26-1:3". Lineage: Eukaryota; Metazoa; Chordata; Mammalia; Primates; Hominidae. The record is from RNAcentral.
CGUCAGCGGCCUCCAGGGUUGCUCCAGCCGCGAAUCCCGCUGCCCUUUGCCCCGCGGGCCUCCCAAGGCAGCCCCCUGUUAGCCCGACCGGCUUCGAAGCCCGCGCCGGUUGCGGAUCCUCCGCCGCGCCCACCUGUCAGCGCCUCGGCCGGCCGGGGCUCCCGCCGCAUGCAAGCAGCGAGGCGAGGUCGCGCUGAGGCCUGGCCAUGCCACGGACGGCCGGGCCUCACCCUGCCGCUCUCUCGCCGUCCAGAGGCCCCUGCUCCACACCUGGGUACCCUGGGUCCUGACUCAGGUGGGCUGGGUCAUCCCCGUCCAUCAGGGAAGGUAGUGCGGGCGCCCGCGGAGGGGCUGGUUCCCACGUUCGUCCUAUCAGGUUCCCCACGUACUCCUUCGCCCAGUGUCCUGCGGCCGGGCCCGGCGGAUUCAGAAUGGGACCUGGCGUUCUGAGACACAGCCCCAGUGCCGGUAGUGGGGGGUGGUGGACUGCACUCCGGGGCCAUUUAAUGUCUUUAGGCCUUGAGUCUCGGCUUCGGUCCCAGUCAACGCCAACGGGAGAGGAAAGAGGAACCAAGUGGGGUCCCCAGACUUCCAAGCAAGGUGGGCUGGCUAACGUCCCUCCUACCUGUCGCAGGGCAGCUGGGUGAGAAGCUAACGGCUUGAAGGAACAGGGCUACAAGGGGAGUUUGUGCUGGGCCUGGCGUCCCAGGCUGUGGACUGGAACUGGACAUGAGAACCCCCCCUACACCCUCCCAAGUCAAAGACACUCCAAAAAGACAGUUUCUCCACUUUAUUAGCCUGGAGCUCCUCCCUGCCAGCCCCAGGGGCUGGUCGCUGGUCCCUGGGCAC